Molecule: long non-coding RNA, 642 nt
Filed under: Rosa chinensis
Lineage: Eukaryota; Viridiplantae; Streptophyta; Magnoliopsida; Rosales; Rosaceae
Description: sRNA RchiOBHm_Chr2g0172001
Source: RNAcentral
GUAUAUGUUCAUAUAAGAAUUUAUCCUAUAUAAUUUUUUGGUUUUUUUUUUUCUGAAGUGUUUCUGCUUUUAUCCCCGUCUGAUGCAUGGAUCCCUUAAAUUAAUAUGUACAUGUUGGAUUCAUGUAGAUGUAGAUUGAGGUUUCUUCCUCAAUUUGUAGCAAAUCUUUAGAGUUCUUGAUGACAAGGGUUAGUAGUUUAAGAAAGAAGGAAGAGGUGAAGUGGGAUUUGCAUAUGUUGAUUUAAGAUAAUCCUUGCUUACUUGAAGCUGCUUCUACAUUGUGUUGACCAGAAAUGGCACAAAUGAUUAUUUAACGUGUGGCUUUCUUGAAUAUGAAUAUGCUAUUAGCAUAUCGGCCCAAAUGAGAAAUUUACAUCUAGGUAAGAUCAAUAUAUAAACCCAUGCUUGCCAUGAAUUGAACUAAUUUAAUGAAAACGUAUGACAGUGACUUGUAGUGACAGCUCCCAAGUAUUGGUAUGGUGGGUUUGAGAGCUGUUUCUCGUGUACUUAUCUUGAAACUUGAAAGUGUGUGUUGAUUAGUUUUAGAGAACCAUGUAUAGUAGCAGCACUAUGUACGUAUUAGUUCUCUGCAUUUUCCCAUUCUGGAAAUAUAAUCUCUUCCAUUUUGUCUUCAUGUUGGUU